UACGUAGGGUGCGAGCGUUGUCCGGAAUUACUGGGCGUAAAGAGCUCGUAGGUGGUUUGUCGCGUUGUCCGUGAAAACUCACAACUCAAUUGUGGGCGUGCGGGCGAUACGGGCAGACCGGAGUACUGCAGGGGAGACUGGAAUUCCUGGUGUAGCGGUGAAAUGCGCAGAUAUCAGGAGGAACACCGGUGGCGAAGGCGGGUCUCUGGGUAGUAACUGACGCUGAGGAACGAAAGCGUGGGUAGCGAACAGG
RNAcentral lists this ribosomal RNA (253 nucleotides) under uncultured bacterium. RNAcentral's name for it is "partial 16S ribosomal RNA". It matches the Rfam family "Bacterial small subunit ribosomal RNA", at positions 524 to 776 of the family's 1533-position model. The record is from RNAcentral.